RNAcentral lists this ribosomal RNA (255 nucleotides) under uncultured bacterium. Its description in RNAcentral is "partial 16S ribosomal RNA". It matches the Rfam family "Archaeal small subunit ribosomal RNA", at positions 474 to 727 of the family's 1478-position model. The record is from RNAcentral.
UACCAGCACCCCGAGUGGCCGGGACGUUUAUUGGGCCUAAAGCAUCCGUAGCCGGUUCUACAAGUCUUCCGUUAAAUCCAGCUGCUUAACAGAUGGGCUGCGGAAGAUACUAUGGAGCUAGGAGGCGGGAGAGGCAAGCGGUACUCGAUGGGUAGGGGUAAAAAUCCGUUGAUCCAUUGAAGACCACCAGUGGCGAAGGCGGCUUGCCAGAACGCGCUCGACGGUGAGGGAUGAAAGCUGGGGGGAGCAAACCGG